Molecule: transfer-messenger RNA, 364 nt
Filed under: Crenobacter oryzisoli
Lineage: Bacteria; Pseudomonadati; Pseudomonadota; Betaproteobacteria; Neisseriales; Neisseriaceae
Rfam family: transfer-messenger RNA
About the family: Bacterial tmRNA, also known as 10Sa RNA or SsrA, is named for its dual tRNA and mRNA-like properties. Its role is to liberate the mRNA from a stalled ribosome. To accomplish this part of the tmRNA is used as a reading frame that ends in a translation stop signal.
Source: RNAcentral
GGGGGCGACCUGGUUUCGACGGGGGUUGCGAAGCAGAUGAGGGCAUACCGGGAUCUCAGUCACCCCGUAAAACGCUGAAAUUCUAUAGUCGCAAACGACGAAACUUACGCUCUGGCCGCUUAAUCGCGCCAGACACUGCAACGGUUCGCUGAUGGGCCGUGUGGGGCAACCCACAGCAGUGUCACUUUACAUCAGCUAGCUCUGUGCCGGGUCACUUGACCCAGGGCGAACUAAUAGGUGACUCGCCUCAGCCAAGCCUGUCCGUCGGCGUGGUCUGCGGUUAAAUCCAAAAGACGAGGCUAAGUAUGUAGAACUCACUGUAGAGGACUUUCGGACGCGGGUUCGAUUCCCGCCGCCUCCACCA